Molecule: ribosomal RNA, 766 nt
Filed under: uncultured bacterium
Lineage: Bacteria
Description: bacterial SSU rRNA
Rfam family: Bacterial small subunit ribosomal RNA
Source: RNAcentral
AGAGUUUGAUCCUGGCUCAGGACGAACGCUGGCGGCGUGCUUAACACAUGCAAGUCACGGGGGGCCCGCAAGGGUCAACCGGCGAACGGGUGCGUAACACGUGAGCGACCUGCCCAGUUGCGGGGGAUAGCCGGCCCAACGGCCGGGUAAUACCGCAUACGCGUUCCGGGGGGCAUACCCUGGGGCGGAAACCUACGGGGCAAUUGGAGGGGCUCGCGGCCUAUCAGCUAGUUGGCGGGGUAACGGCCCACCAAGGCGAUGACGGGUAGCUGGUCUGAGAGGAUGGCCAGCCACAUUGGGACUGAGAGACGGCCCAGACUCCUACGGGAGGCAGCAGUGGGGAAUUUUACGCAAUGGGGGAAACCCUGACGUAGCGACACCGCGUGAGCGAAGAAGCCCUUUGGGGUGUAAAGCUCUGUCAACAGGAACGAAACAAAUGACGGUACCUGUGGAGGAAGCAUCGGCUAACUACGUGCCAGCAGCCGCGGUAAGACGUAGGAUGCAAGCGUUGUCCGGAUUUAUUGGGCGUAAAGAGUUCGUAGGCGGUUUGUUAAGUCUGAUGUUAAAGACCGGGGCUCAACCUCGGAAAUGCAUUGGAUACUGGCAGACUGGAGUGCAGUAGAGGCUAGUGGAAUUCCCAGUGUAGCGGUGAAAUGCGUAGAUAUUGGGAAGAACACCGGUGGCGUAGGCGACUAGCUGGGCUGUAACUGACGCUGAGGAACGAAAGCCAGGGGAGCAAAUGGGAUUAGAUACCCCGGUAGUCCAA